Molecule: ribosomal RNA, 702 nt
Filed under: uncultured bacterium
Lineage: Bacteria
Description: bacterial SSU rRNA
Rfam family: Bacterial small subunit ribosomal RNA
Source: RNAcentral
GCAGUCGAACGGCAGCACGGGAGCAAUCCUGGUGGCGAGUGGCGAACGGGUGAGUAAUAUAUCGGAACGUGCCCAGUCGUGGGGGAUAACGCAGCGAAAGCUGUGCUAAUACCGCAUACGAUCUACGGAUGAAAGCGGGGGAUCGCUAGACCUCGCGCGAUUGGAGCGGCCGAUAUCAGAUUAGCUAGUUGGUGGGGUAAAGGCCCACCAAGGCGACGAUCUGUAGCUGGUCUGAGAGGACGACCAGCCACACUGGAACUGAGACACGGUCCAGACUCCUACGGGAGGCAGCAGUGGGGAAUUUUGGACAAUGGGCGCAAGCCUGAUCCAGCAAUGCCGCGUGCAGGAUGAAGGCCUUCGGGUCGUAAACUGCUUUUGUACGGAACGAAACGGUGAGCUCUAAUAAAGUUUGCUAAUGACGGUACCGUAAGAAUAAGCACCGGCUAACUACGUGCCAGCAGCCGCGGUAAUACGUAGGGUGCGAGCGUUAAUCGGAAUUACUGGGCGUAAAGCGCGCGCAGGCGGUUAUAUAAGACAGAUGUGAAAUCCCCGGGCUCAACCUGGGACCUGCAUUUGUGACUGUAUAGCUAGAGUACGGUAGAGGGGGAUGGAAUUCCGCGUGUAGCAGUGAAAUGCGUAGAUAUGCGGAGGAACACCGAUGGCGAAGGGCAUCCCCUGGACCUGUACUGACGCUCAUGCACG